UCACGUCACGCCUUAAUGCGGUGCUACACUACGCCAUCAAGGUGGACAGACGGGUGUAUAAAUAUGUGCCCAUACCCCCUAUAUGAAUUAAACACUCAUAUAGGGCUACUACGCUUACGUCCAACGCUCACGUCACACCAUAAUGCGGCUAUAUGCUACGCCAUUAAGGUGGACAGACACAUAUGGCUAGCUAGCAUUUUCUAUACAUACUCUCUCAUAAUUACAUAUUUAUAUUCACCGAAAAUCCCAUUUUCGGUAACUCUCUCAGAGAAAUAAAAGCGUCAAAAUUAAUUGACGUCAAAACUCCAACAAAAGGAAAUGUUCAAUCAUGAACCAUAGCAUGCAUAUUAUUUCAAAACAAAGGUCCACUCACAAAUUAGGCCUAAGCCUGAUGUCGAUCUGGAGUCUCGUCUGCUCGAGCCUCCGGCCCUCACGUCCUGUUCCAAAUAUAAUAUUAAUUUCCCAACCAAUAAUCCAAUAUUUAAUCAAAAUAGGCAAAAUUACCCGAGAGCCAUAAUUACGCUCAUCAUUGCCUAACUUCGAUAUUCUUACAUCGGAACAAUCCACACUUAAAUAUCAUACUCAACAGUCGUAAAUACAACCUCCUCAAAAUACGACUUAAAUCCUACGGCCGGAUUCUACAUUAAUUAACCGCUAAAAAUACCAAACUUCGGAAAUUCACAAACCUAUCCAAAUCUCAUCCAAAAAUUCCAUAAUUCACUUCAAUAAUAUCCCCUUAAUAUUCUACAUCAAAAACCAUAAAAAUCUCCUAACCGCCGGCGGCUCCGCCGGCAGCGGCGGCCGGCAGCCGUUUUCCGGCGACCUGCAAAUGCUACCAAAUUUUAACAGAAUCUUCCUCUCAAUCUCCUCUACAACUUUCAUGACCAACACAUCACCCAAUUCCAAGCCUAACUAGGCUAAUCGAACGAAAACAACUUAAAAGCCUAGAAAUUUCAACUCCACAUUUCUCCUUACCUAGCUCAAGAGGGAGGGAGCUACUUGGAGGGGUUGUUGCACGGGAGGAGGGCUACAAAACCGUACCAAGCUUGCCCGGAUUGGUGGCCGGAGGAGGAAGUUCCGGCGAAGGGAAGCUCGGAGCAGCCUAGCCUUUCGGGCGGCACCGCUCACUCACGGCGGCGCUAGGGCUCCUCUCACCGGUCCAGGGAGGCCUGCUGGGUUGAAGGUCGAUCGAUUGGAACCGGUGCGG
This 1207-nucleotide long non-coding RNA is filed under the name Fragaria vesca (wild strawberry). Its description in RNAcentral is "long non-coding RNA (FVES_LNC005117)". Lineage: Eukaryota; Viridiplantae; Streptophyta; Magnoliopsida; Rosales; Rosaceae. The record is from RNAcentral.